GCGUCUCUGGCGAUUGUCGAUAUGUUUAGAGAAAUUGUCGCAAGGUUUUGUUAAAUAUUGUUUACAAGCUUUUGAGCCCUUGGGCCAAAAAUAAAACUCAUGGAGUUGCCAACAACGCCACAGCAGUUUCGACAUGUGCGCAGCUGUGUUGUGCGCUCAUGUGUGCGCUUCACGGGGAAAUGGCAGCCUCCCGUCGUCAAGUUUUGAGGCUUUACAAGGAAUUGAUGCGUGAAUCUGGGCAGUUCAAGAGCUACAUUUAUAGGUCUUAUGCAUUGAGACGUGUGAGAGAUGCCUUCAAGGAACACAAGGCGGUGCAAGAUAAAGACGAAAUCAAUGAGCUUCUGGAUGAUGGAUUGAAAAACUUGGAAAUAAUCAAGCGGCAGGUGGUCAUCGGCAAGCUCUACAGGGCUGCCGACUUGGUCAUAGAAAAGCAGUUCACAACACAGCAGCGAUGACUCUGUAAAGCCUCUAUUUUCUAUAGUUUUUUGUAUAUUGUGUACUGUUCCUUCAUCCUGGCAACAACCCAUCCUGGCAGGACUCUGAAAUAACCCUCCUAUUCUUCCAUCCUGCCUGGAUUAUCCUGGUCUCUUCUAAUCCCACAACUACUUCAUGUACUGUUAAAUUUUUCAAGCGCAGGCUGUCAUUGUGAUCUGGACGACAGGGCCUUGAGGUUGCUGCUUCCCUGCAUAAAAAAAUAAUUCGGCAACUUUUAGAAGUGGCAUAAGAUAUAGUAAAAGUUUUAAUGGUUUGUAGGACUUUGAACUAGGUUGUUGCACUUAUAUUAUCUGCAGUAGCUAUGCAAGUGUGCUGGAAAAGAGUUGCUGGUCCUAGAUGCCUUGGGUCUAGUUUGUACUCACUGUGGGUACUGAAGACAUUUAUCAAAUGAAAAAGACAACAAAGAGUACUUAUGACUAAAGCACAUAUUUUCUAGCAAUAUGAACUUUGUUUCAUUUCAUGCAGAGUCUUCCAAUAUAUGUUGAAUAGUGCUAACAUUCAGUCAGAGCAACUUAUAUGUAUAUUAAGUACAUUGCAUAUAUUUUUCGAAUGAAUUGGCAGGUUUUCACUCACAUUUUAUUUUCUUGUAAAGUACUGCAUUUCAUUGUAUAAUGUGUAAAAUAUGAGGAGAUUAUUAGUGUAUUUACUAACCUCGAUCAAAAGCAUGUAUAUUUUUAAAGCUUUCCUUGGGCUCAUGCCCUUUCAUAGAUGCAACAGUUUCACGGCAUGUUGUUGCGCCCACCUGUUAGGCACUGAGACAAGUCCAUUCCUAGAAGUAUUAUUGCUAAAUUACUUGGGCAUUAACUUUCGUUCAUAUUUUUUCUAUGGUACAGACCUUCAUUUAAAAUGCAGUGGCAAGGGGAACAUGCCAUGUCAGUACUCCUUUAACUUCCUAUUUGUCCUGUAAAGAAGGUGUACACCACACCACGAGCCAACAGAAAUGUGCACAACUCUUGCAUUUAACAUGCAUGAUUUAUGUCUGACCAGAAUAUUGCCCAACACAUUUUAGUGGAUUCUUGUGGCAUGCAGACUGGUUCUCACCACUCUUUACAACAGUGAUAGGUGCUGAAUUUGCCAAUAAUGUGUAAUCCAUUGCAACAGCAGGCAGAAUGAGCUCCAUGCCCCAUGGUAGAGGGUUAACCAUGACCGAUUUGCUGUGGUACAGUUCAAAAUUAAGAGGCUAUAAAGUGUCGCCCUGUGCAGUGCAACUACAAGGCCUUGAAGCAAACUCCUCAUCUCUGCCGUGGCACGCCACAUUUCAGCAUCUCCUGAUAACAGGAAGCUGGGGCUCUUAUCUAUGUAUAUGGGAACAAAGAAAAUGUUUUUCUUAACAAAUGCUGCACCAAAUCUAAUUAGCUUUGUUAUAUUCAAAAUAUUAAAAAAAAAACAGUCUUGUGACUUUAAAACCCAGUUUUUUAUUAUGCUGUCAAUUGUAAAAAAUAA
This is an RNA transcript of Rhipicephalus sanguineus (brown dog tick), 1938 nucleotides long. It is a transcript of the gene named LYR motif-containing protein 4, with no coding region annotated. The record is from RefSeq and is a predicted model, not a curated record. NCBI's taxonomy places the organism in Eukaryota, Metazoa, Arthropoda, Arachnida, Ixodida, Ixodidae. The transcript has 5 exons.